GCCUUCUAAAAAUUCUAAGUUCUGUUCUCCAUUCUUGACAGUAGCUAAAAGCUUGAACUUCAAGCAUUUUUCCUUCAUAUUUUACCCGGGUAUAAUACGUUGCUGCUGGUGCUCUGUUUGAAAUUCUUACUUUACCCGGUUAAAGUGUGUUGAAACUCCAACAUAGAUAGCAGAAUUUGGCCGCCAAAUCUGAAAAAAAUAACAGAUUGAUAAAGAAACUUUAAGGAUAAAAUGGUAAAAUAAUAAAUGGAAGUUCAACCAGUGAGCUUACUGCUGCUGAAAGCUCCAGUUGAUUUUUGGGAUAGCAGUGUGGUGAGAAU
Molecule: long non-coding RNA, 320 nt
Filed under: Gossypium barbadense (sea-island cotton)
Lineage: Eukaryota; Viridiplantae; Streptophyta; Magnoliopsida; Malvales; Malvaceae
Description: long non-coding RNA (GBAR_LNC005851)
Source: RNAcentral